GACGAACGCUGGCGGCGUGCCUAAUACAUGCAAGUAGAACGCACAGUUUAUACCGUAGCUUGCUACACCAUAAACUGUGAGUUGCGAACGGGUGAGUAACGCGUAGGUAACCUGCCUGGUAGCGGGGGAUAAAUCUUGGACACGAUAGCUAAUACCGCAUAAUAUUGAUUAUUGCAUGAUAAUUGAUUGAAAGAUGCUAAUGCAUCACUACCAGAUGGACCUGCGUUGUAUUAGCUAGUAGGUGAGGUUACGGCUCACCUAGGCGACGAUACAUAGCCGACCUGGGGGGGGGAACGGCCACACUGGGACUGGGACACGGCCCAGAAUCCUACGGGGGGCAGCAGGAGGGAAUCUUCGGCAAUGGACGAAAGUCUGACCGAGCAACGCCGCGGGAGGGAAGAAGGUUUUCGGAUCGUAAAGAUCUGUUGUAAGGGAAGAACGGGUGUGGGAGUGGAAAGUGCACACUGUGACGGUACCUUACCAGAAAGGGACGGCUAACUACGUG
RNAcentral lists this ribosomal RNA (505 nucleotides) under uncultured bacterium. RNAcentral's name for it is "partial 16S ribosomal RNA". It matches the Rfam family "Bacterial small subunit ribosomal RNA", at positions 28 to 507 of the family's 1533-position model. The record is from RNAcentral.